GCUAUGGCAAAGGUGGCAAGGAUGACGAAGUUCGUACGGAG
This 41-nucleotide non-coding RNA is filed under the name Thalassiosira minuscula. Lineage: Eukaryota; Bacillariophyta; Thalassiosirophyceae; Thalassiosirales; Thalassiosiraceae. The record is from RNAcentral.